UGGGACUACAGAUCAGUUACAUUACAUAAGCCAGUCACAGAAAGACAAAUACUGUAUGGUCUCACUUACAUGGGAUAUCUAAAAACGUUGAUCUUGUAGAAACAGAGUAGAAAGGUGAUAACCAGUGUCUGCUGGGGUGGGGAGAUGGUGUGGGAGGGGAUGGGGAAAAGGGAGAUGUUGACGAAAGGUACAAAGUUUCCAUUAAACUGUAGAAAUAAGUUUUAGUGGUCUGUGGUACUGCAUGGUGACCACAGUUAAUAAUAAUAUAUAUUUCAAUAUUGCUAAAAUAAUUGAUUUUUAAUGUUCUGAAUACAAAAGAAGGAUAAAUUGGUGAGGUAAUGGAUAUGUUAAUUAGCUUGAUGUAAUCUUUCUGCAAUGUAUACAGAUAUAAAAACACCACAUGGAGCCCCAUGUUUGUGUAAAGAUACAUACACAAUUACUAAUUUUCAAUUAAAACAAAACAAACAUGUAGGUUUCAUAAAGUAGGAUGUCAUAUAAGUAAUGAGUAAACACUAGGAUCUGAUCUUGGCCAUUUUAUUAACAGUAUUACCUAUGAGAAUUUCUUUUAAUCUCUUUUAGUCUAUUUCCUCUGUAAAAUGAAAGUUUGAGUAUUUUCCAAACUCUGAAAGAUUACUAGAGAUGAUUUUAGGUGGUAUAUGAGAUUACUUUAGGCAGUGCCUUGAUAAAACAUUAAAAUAAACAUUGAAUCACAUAGUGAGAAAUUACUCCUUUUUCAUCUUUCUGAUUACAUCAAAAAGAAAGUCUCAGUUUGGUAUCAAGAGAUCUUUAAUAAUUCUCGAACACUGGAUAAUUGGUUGUGGGGGAAGAUGAGGGUGAGAGUGAACAGAUACUAUGAAUUUUAUACCACUCAGGAGUUUCCACAUAAGAGUUACACAGACCAAUGAAAGUAAGAAGAAAACAAGGUCUCUAUAGAAGCGAAAUUAAUUCCAUGCCUUAGAAGGAGAAAGUACAGAAGUGCUUUUUUGCUCUUUCUGUUGACCUCAUUUCCCUUGCAGUUGGAACAAAAUCAACGUGUUACCCAAAUGGCAAGUUGGAGAGGAGGAAUCAAACAUGAGGCACAGCCCUUUCCGACUUCUCUCAUGGUGUGGCCCGUACUCAUAAAGUACUUCUCUUCUGCUAUGUAGUACGCUUUGGUUGACAAACUGCUUAGGACAGGCUUAGAAAGUCCAUGAAGCCAUAAAUCCAAAGCACAAAAUCACAUUUGCAAUUCAUCGUUAUUAUCAAGCCGAUAUUUUGAUUGCCAUUUUAUUCCUCUGUUUUUCAGUUGGUUUCAAAUUCUUAGGAAAUGUAAGAGGAAAAGCAAUUAUUACUCUUUAAAACCUCAGUAAUAAUCUACCUUUUUAACAGAAAUCCAGUUUGGGCUUAGAGCUUUCCAUAAGCAAUAUUAUUCAUACAGAAUUUAAUAACAUGGUUUUGUUUUCAGUGGAUUUAUAUUUAUGGUUAACAUCUAUAAAAGAAAUUCAUUUAAGUUUUAAAAAAUGAAUUGGCUUUUAAAAUAUUAAAUAAUACAUAUAUUACAUGUAUAUGAUAAAAAUCAUAAGGUAAUACACAAUUGGCUAAAAUUCAGAAAAUACUGAAUGAGAUUAUUUGAGGUUUUUUAGAUUAAAAUUUUUUUGCAUGUAUAUUGAAUAGAAUAUAAAAAGUUGUAUGGUAAACCAGUGGGGGAAAAAAAGGGCUUUCUAACAUAGCAUGUACUGUAUUAUUUUCUUAUAUUUUGAAAUAUCUUGUUAAUGAGGAAGUUAAGCUUUUAUUCGAUGCCAGUUUUCUUAUUUAUAAGUGUAAAUAUCUUUUUCUUAAUAGCUUACUAGACAGAAUAUAUCUUUUUGGUAGGAUAUUUGUUGGUGAUGAUGACUUUUUUAUUCAUAUAUUUUUCUGCUGUAUACCCUUUCUAGCACAGUGUUCAGUACAUGGUAUUUGUUUCAGCUCGUUUUGCAUUGCUAUAAAGUAAUACUCAAGGCUGAGUAAUUUAUAAAGAAAAGAGAUUUAUUUGGCAUAUGGCUCUGCAGGUUGUAUAAGAAGCAUGGUGCCAGCAUCUGCCUCUGGUGAGGGCUUCAGAAAGCUUCCACUCAUGGCAGAUGGUGAAGGGAGUGGGGACAGACAUCACAUGGCAAGAGAGGAAGGAAGAGAGAGGGGUGAGGAAGUUGCUGGGCUCUUUUUAACAAUUAGUUCUGCUGAGAACUCACUUGUUACCACUAGAAGAGCACCGAGUUUUACAUAUCAGAGGGAGAGAAUAUUAAUUAGAGGUUAUUAACCAAACUGACUUUCUAAUAACCAUGUAGUUGGCUUGAUUGACUAUAUUCCCAGAUCAUUUAAUUUAUUUUGAAACAUUUUGCAUAUAUACAGGAGAACAGAAUUUGAAGACUAUGUUUCAUUCUGGUGAAUAUAUUUUAAACAUAGCCUAGGUUUAUU
Sapajus apella (tufted capuchin) is the source of this 2430-nucleotide long non-coding RNA. RefSeq lists it as uncharacterized. The record is from RefSeq and is a predicted model, not a curated record. NCBI's taxonomy places the organism in Eukaryota, Metazoa, Chordata, Mammalia, Primates, Cebidae. The transcript has 3 exons.